Molecule: ribosomal RNA, 253 nt
Filed under: uncultured bacterium
Lineage: Bacteria
Description: partial 16S ribosomal RNA
Rfam family: Bacterial small subunit ribosomal RNA
Source: RNAcentral
GACGAAGGGGGCUAGCGUUGUUCGGAAUUACUGGGCGUAAAGCGAGUGUAGGUGGUUGUCCAAGUUGGAUGUGAAAGCCUUGAGCUCGACUCAAGAAAUGCAUUCAGGACUGGGCGGCUAGAGGACCGGAGAGGAUAGUGGAAUUCCCAGUGUAGUGGUGAAAUACGUAGAGAUUGGGAAGAACACCAGUGGCGAAGGCGGCUAUCUGGACGGUUUCUGACACUAAGACUCGAAAGCGUGGGGAGCAAACAGG